GCUCAACCGGGGGGGGUCAUUGGAAACUGGGGAACUUGAGUGCAGAAGAGGAGAGUGGAAUUCCACGUGUAGCGGUGAAAUGCGUAGAGAUGUGGAGGAACACCAGUGGCGAAGGCGACUCUCUGGUCUGUAACUGACGCUGAGGCGCGAAAGCGUGGGGAGCGAACAGGAUUAGAUACCCUGGUAGUCCACGCCGUAAACGAUGAGUGCUAAGUGUUAGAGGGUUUCCGCCCUUUAGUGCUGCAGCAAACGCAUUAAGCACUCCGCCUGGGGAGUACGGUCGCAAGACUGAAACUCAAAGGAAUUGACGGGGGCCCGCACAAGCGGUGGAGCACGUGGUUUAAUUCGAAGCAACGCGAAGAACCUUACCAGGUCUUGACAUCCUCUGACAACCCUAGAGAUAGGGCUUCCCCUUCGGGGGCAGAGUGACAGGUGGUGCAUGGUUGUCGUCAGCUCGUGUCGUGAGAUGUUGGGUUAAGUCCCGCAACGAGCGCAACCCUUGAUCUUAGUUGCCAGCAUUCAGUUGGGCACUCUAAGGUGACUGCCGGUGACAAACCGGAGGAAGGUGGGGAUGACGUCAAAUCAUCAUGCCCCUUAUGACCUGGGCUACACACGUGCUACAAUGGGCAGAACAAAG
Molecule: ribosomal RNA, 637 nt
Filed under: uncultured bacterium
Lineage: Bacteria
Description: bacterial SSU rRNA
Rfam family: Bacterial small subunit ribosomal RNA
Source: RNAcentral